This 394-nucleotide ribosomal RNA is filed under the name uncultured bacterium. RNAcentral's name for it is "partial 16S ribosomal RNA". It matches the Rfam family "Bacterial small subunit ribosomal RNA", at positions 523 to 918 of the family's 1533-position model. The record is from RNAcentral.
AUACGGAGGAUCCGAGCGUUAUCCGGAUUUAUUGGGUUUAAAGGGUGCGCAGGCGGGAGAUUAAGUCGGCGGUGAAAUUUUGCAGCUCAACUGUAAAAGUGCCUUCGAAACUGGUUUCCUUGAGUGUAGAUGAAGUAGGCGGAAUUUGUGGUGUAGCGGUGAAAUGCAUAGAUAUCACUCAGAACACCGAUUGCGAAGGCAUCUGACGAACUGCCCACUGACGCUGAGGCACGAAAGCGUGGGGAUCAAACAGGAUUAGAUACCCUGGUAGUCCACGCAGUAAACGAUGAUGACUAACUGCCGGCCCGUUGCGGGUCGGUGGCCAAGCGAAAGCGAUAAGUCAUCCACCUGGGGAGUACGACCGCAAGGUUGAAACUCAAAGGAAUUGACGGGG